Topomyia yanbarensis is the source of this 3674-nucleotide RNA transcript. It is a transcript of the gene named RNA-binding protein 25, with no coding region annotated. Lineage: Eukaryota; Metazoa; Arthropoda; Insecta; Diptera; Culicidae. The transcript is spliced from 13 exons. The record is from RefSeq and is a predicted model, not a curated record.
CGAAGCAGAGUGAUCGCGUUUCCAUCCUUUCGCCAAGAGUGCUGAACGGGUAGCACAUUUUCGUCGAAAAUUGUACAUUUCUCAGUUCAGAACGUUUCGAAAAUAUUGCAAUUCGGUAGUGUUAAAGUUGGUGCUACAGUUUUACUAUCUGUAGACACGAAAAGUUGGUGAAAAUUUGUGAUAUUUGCAAUUCUUUUUCGGCCGACGACGAACGAGAAAAAAAGUAGCAGCGAAAAUUUGCUGCACUAGUGUGCGUGAAAGAUCGGCGUCGUGUGGUAGAAGAUUGGAAACAGUGCAAGCUGUCAAAUGUUUGUUGCUUCCGCUUGCUGCGUACGAACGGUUACAGCAUCAGGGAAGUCAUUGUAAAUAGAGCCGGUGGAGCUUGCUAGAACUCGACGAUGUCCUACCCAUCAAGACCACCACCGACAAUUGUGCCGGCGGGAAUGCCCUUCGCGAUGGCCCCACCAAUAAUGCCUCCGAUGAUGCCAGUCGGAUUGCCACCGAUGAGUCAGCCCCCACCUGGUGGAAGGGCUACUUUUCACGGACCGCCACCCACGAUCGGUUCUCGUCCGCAGAUGUACAAUCAUAUGAACAACCAUCAUGACAAGCACCGUGGUGAUCGGGUAGGCGGUGUUCAGGUACCGAAUCCCGCACCUACCUACGACGGGCCGGUAAUCACUGUCUUCAUUGGAAACAUCAGCGAUAAAGCACCCGAUCCAAUGAUUAAGAAGAUUCUCGCAUCGUGCGGAACGGUCAUCAACUGGAAGCGGGUGUCCACCUUUGGGUUUUGUGAGUACGAUGGUGCCGUAGCAGGUGCGCGUGCCGUCCGAUUGCUUCACGAUCUUGAAAUUGGCGGUAAAAAGCUGGUGGCCAAGGUUGACGCCAAAAAUAAGGCUUUGCUUGAUAACUACAAAGAGGAAGAGACUGCCGGUGGUGAUGAAAAUUUCGAACGGAGGUGUGAUGACGAAUCGACCGAUUUGAUCAGAAGGAUUAUGGAAGAGUUUCGAGAGGAUUUUUCUGGUGGUGACCCGGACGACGAAGCUGCACCAACAAAACAGAAAAAACAACUACAGUCGGUGCACCUGGAAGAGGGUAAGCGGGAAAUAAUCAGCCAGGAGAUUGGUAAGUUUCGCAAGUAUACUGAAGCUGAGGAACUUAAAAAAGAGAAGGAAAAGGAGCGUAGGAAAGCCCGGGACGAGAAAAAGUCUGAAAAGUCCGACGGGGACAAGAAACGGUCAGUUUCACCUAAAAAAGAAAAGGAUAAAGAGAAAAAAUCACGGAGGCGAAGUCGGUCACGAUCGAGGGACCGCGAACGUGAGCGCGAGCGAGAAAGAGAACGUGAGAAGGAAAGGGAACGUGAACGGGAGCGGGAACGGGAAACCCGUGAACGGAUAGAGCGGGAAAACCGGGAACGGGAGGCACGGGACCGCGAACGGGAACGUGAACGCGAAAGAGAAAGGGAGCGUGAACGGGAAUUGCAAAACCGAAACCCACGAGACAUUCAGAAAGAGAAAGAAAUAGAAGAGGAAGCAAGAGAUCGUAGAAAGGCGGAAAAGAAGGCCAAGGAAAAGGAGGCCGCCUAUCAGGAGAGAUUGCGGAAUUGGGAAGCUCGCGAGCGACGAAAGACCAAGGACUACGAGAAGGAUCGCGAAAGAGAACGAUGCAGGGAGGAAGAACGGGAAAGAGAAGCAAAGCGGCUUAAGGAAUUCUUGGAGGACUAUGAUGAUGAACGGGAUGAUCCAAAAUAUUAUAAGGGACGAGAACUGCAGCGACGCUUGGCAGAGCGUGUCCGCGAAGCCGACCAAGAUUCGAAGGACCGCAACAAAGAACAGGAAGAGCUUGACGAGCUGAAGAAUAAAAUUUUCUCCGGCGAGUAUGAUAACCCAACGUUAGAAUUUGAAAAGUUGAAAAAACAACGCGAGGACAUGUACCGGCCCAAGAUUUUGAUCGAUGUUAAUCUGGAGCAAUCGCAGCAACGUGAGCGCGAGCUCGAGCGUGAACGGCAGCGUGAACUAGAGCGACAGCGUGACAAGGAACGGGUGCGCGCCAAUAAGGAACGCUAUGUCCUAGCUCAGGCCUCCCGUGAGUUGGCAGCCAUUGAUGCGGAACCGAUUGAGUCUGAUUCCAGUGGUCACGACGAUAAUAACUUCGACUCCCCCGGUGUGAUUGCAACCAAUAAUAAUCACCACCACGUCGGUAACAAUAGCCUGCCUCACCAUCCGCAGCAUGCCGGAUCGGAAACGCGAGAUUCGUUCGGGUUUGGUUCAGGUCCUGCUACCAUUUUCGAUAGUGGACCAAGUAUGAUGGAACCCGAGGAGGAUGCUUCCCGUCAUUCAAUGCGUUCGAACUCGAACACAAUGAUGAUGCACAGCCCUGGAGCAAAUAGUAAUAGUGAAAUGAAUUCCCUGCCGGAGAAGCCUCAACCUAUCGCACCCACCAUCAGUCUCAGUUUGAACGCAAAUGCUAAAAAGAAGAAGUUGGAAAUGAAGGACGUUUUCAACAAUAUGGACGACGAUGGAGAGGAGUCGAAUGGUCCUAAGAAGCGAAAGUUGGUGCCCUUGGUUAUAGUUACAGAAGACGAGAAAAAGGCACAGAACGCUGCGGCCGUUCAGACGGGCUCAUCACAGCACUCUAGUUCAAAGGGUACCUCCAAAAGUAAGAGUGGUGAGGACGCUUCCGGUACCAGUAGCAGAUCCAGUCGUGAUACGAUCAAAUCGCAGGAGGAGAAACGGCGGCACAUUAAGAGUAUUAUCGAUAAAAUACCCACUGAAAAGAACGAUUUGUUCAAUUAUCCUCUAGACUGGAACGAGAUUGAUGCCACGAUUGAAAAGAAAAUUCGCCCGUGGAUCAAUAAGAAGAUUAUCGAAUACAUUGGAGAGCCAGAGCCAACGCUGGUGGACUUUAUUUGUUCGAAAGUGUUGGCAGGAAGCACUCCGCAGGGAAUACUGGAUGAUGUUAUGAUGGUCCUGGACGAAGAAGCUGAGGUGUUUGUGGUUAAAAUGUGGCGGUUGUUAAUCUAUGAGGUCGAAGCCAAGAAGGUUGGACUUACGAAGUAGUGCUCCGUGGGAAUCCAAGAUGAUCAUCGGUGCUGCUUCCGGAAGACCGCAGCUCAGAACUGGACAUCUUAUCGAACGCCGACAAACAUGGUAAUGCGUAAUAUCGCACCAUCGAUUAACGUCAAUUGAUUCUGGUUCCGGUUUCCGUGCUGGUGGUGAUGAUGAUGGUGCCGGUCGGAUACUUUGUCCGUCCCAUUCACAACUCCUCUCCAUCUCUUCUGGCCUUUGAACGGUUCCUUUGGGGCUUCCUGUCACAGAAUCGCGUCUUGCCGCCUACUGGCUCUUUGAGGUGAUGAGUUUAAUCUGGCUCGCUGCAGGAGGCAAAGGUGAUUAACACACAAGGAAGAACUGGUUUAACAAGUCUACAACAAUUCAAGUUGGAUGGUUUCUCCAGAAAAAUAACCAUAAAGUUAAAGCUGCCAUAACUAAGUGAAUAAAUUGGAUGAUGGUAUCUUAAUACAAUGACGGAAGUACUGAUGCUGGCGCACUUGGGGGCAAACAUGCUGUGAUAAUCGUUAACACAGUAGAUCUUGUUGUCCACGUCGACGGUGAAUGGCACUCCAUCGAGGCACUCAUUGCAUACACAGCACCGGAAGCAGCCCGGGUGGUAGGAUUUUC